UGAAUCCUGUGACUCAGCUCAUUCCCUAGCAGAAUGCAAAGGGCAAAAUGUAAAACCAGCAGUAACCUAUGUCAGGGUCCCAGCUUCCUCUCCUGGUUCAGAUGUGGAGCCCG
RNAcentral lists this long non-coding RNA (113 nucleotides) under Cavia porcellus (domestic guinea pig). Its description in RNAcentral is "lncRNA (ENSCPOG00000037352.1)". Lineage: Eukaryota; Metazoa; Chordata; Mammalia; Rodentia; Caviidae. The record is from RNAcentral.